GGGUUGUGAGGUUAAGCGACUAAGCGUACACGGUGGAUGCCCUGGCAGUCAGAGGCGAUGAAGGGCGUGCUAAUCUGCGAUAAGCGCCGGUAAGGUGAUAUGAACCGUUAUAACCGGCGAUACCCGAAUGGGGAAACCCAGUGUGACUCGUCACACUAUCAUUAACUGAAUCCAUAGGUUAAUGAGGCGAACCGGGGGAACUGAAACAUCUAAGUACCCCGAGGAAAAGAAAUCAACCGAGAUUCCCCCAGUAGCGGCGAGCGAACGGGGAGGAGCCCAGAGCCUGAAUCAGCAUGUGUGUUAGUGGAAGCGUCUGGAAAGGCGCGCGAUACAGGGUGACAGCCCCGUACACAAAAGCGCAUGUGCUGUGAGCUCGAUGAGUAGGGCGGGACACGUGGUAUCCUGUCUGAAUAUGGGGGGACCAUCCUCCAAGGCUAAAUACUCCUGACUGACCGAUAGUGAACCAGUACCGUGAGGGAAAGGCGAAAAGAACCCCGGCGAGGGGAGUGAAAAAGAACCUGAAACCGUGUACGUACAAGCAGUGGGAGCNNNNNGGGCGUUAAGUUGCAGGGUAUAGACCCGAAACCCGGUGAUCUAGCCAUGGGCAGGUUGAAGGUUGGGUAACACUAACUGGAGGACCGAACCGACUAAUGUUGAAAAAUUAGCGGAUGACCUGUGGCUGGGGGUGAAAGGCCAAUCAAACCGGGAGAUAGCUGGUUCUCCCCGAAAGCUAUUUAGGUAGCGCCUCGUGAAUUCAUCUCCGGGGGUAGAGCACUGUUUCGGCUAGGGGGCCAUCCCGGCUUACCAACCCGAUGCAAACUGCGAAUACCGGAGAAUGUUAUCACGGGAGACACACGGCGGGUGCUAACGUCCGUCGUGAAGAGGGAAACAACCCAGACCGCCAGCUAAGGUCCCAAAGUCAUGGUUAAGUGGGAAACGAUGUGGGAAGGCCCAGACAGCCAGGAUGUUGGCUUAGAAGCAGCCAUCAUUUAAAGAAAGCGUAAUAGCUCACUGGUCGAGUCGGCCUGCGCGGAAGAUGUAACGGGGCUAAACCAUGCACCGAAGCUGCGGCAGCGNNGCUGGAGGUAUCAGAAGUGCGAAUGCUGACAUAAGUAACGAUAAAGCGGGUGAAAAGCCCGCUCGCCGGAAGACCAAGGGUUCCUGUCCAACGUUAAUCGGGGCAGGGUGAGUCGACCCCUAAGGCGAGGCCGAAAGGCGUAGUCGAUGGGAAACGGGUUAAUAUUCCCGUACUUGGUGUUACUGCGAAGGGGGGACGGAGAAGGCUAUGUUGGCCGGGCGACGGUUGUCCCGGUUUAAGCGUGUAGGUGUGUGUUCCAGGUAAAUCCGGUUCACUUUAACACUGAGGCGUGACGACGAGGCACUACGGUGCUGAAGCAACAAAUGCCCUGCUUCCAGGAAAAGCCUCUAAGCAUCAGGUAACAUCAAAUCGUACCCCAAACCGACACAGGUGGUCAGGUAGAGAAUACCAAGGCGCUUGAGAGAACUCGGGUGAAGGAACUAGGCAAAAUGGUGCCGUAACUUCGGGAGAAGGCACGCUGACACGUAGGUGAAGUGAUUUACUCAUGGAGCUGAAGUCAGUCGAAGAUACCAGCUGGCUGCAACUGUUUAUUAAAAACACAGCACUGUGCAAACACGAAAGUGGACGUAUACGGUGUGACGCCUGCCCGGUGCCGGAAGGUUAAUUGAUGGGGUCAGCGCAAGCGAAGCUCCUGAUCGAAGCCCCGGUAAACGGCGGCCGUAACUAUAACGGUCCUAAGGUAGCGAAAUUCCUUGUCGGGUAAGUUCCGACCUGCACGAAUGGCGUAAUGAUGGCCAGGCUGUCUCCACCCGAGACUCAGUGAAAUUGAACUCGCUGUGAAGAUGCAGUGUACCCGCGGCAAGACGGAAAGACCCCGUGAACCUUUACUAUAGCUUGACACUGAACAUUGAGCCUUGAUGUGUAGGAUAGGUGGGAGGCUUUGAAGUGUGGACGCCAGUCUGCAUGGAGCCGACCUUGAAAUACCACCCUUUAAUGUUUGAUGUUCUAACGUGGACCCGUUACCCGGGUUGCGGACAGUGUCUGGUGGGUAGUUUGACUGGGGCGGUCUCCUCCUAAAGAGUAACGGAGGAGCACGAAGGUUGGCUAAUCCUGGUCGGACAUCAGGAGGUUAGUGCAAUGGCAUAAGCCAGCUUGACUGCGAGCGUGACGGCGCGAGCAGGUGCGAAAGCAGGUCAUAGUGAUCCGGUGGUUCUGAAUGGAAGGGCCAUCGCUCAACGGAUAAAAGGUACUCCGGGGAUAACAGGCUGAUACCGCCCAAGAGUUCAUAUCGACGGCGGUGUUUGGCACCUCGAUGUCGGCUCAUCACAUCCUGGGGCUGAAGUAGGUCCCAAGGGUAUGGCUGUUCGCCAUUUAAAGUGGUACGCGAGCUGGGUUUAGAACGUCGUGAGACAGUUCGGUCCCUAUCUGCCGUGGGCGCUGGAGAACUGAGGGGGGCUGCUCCUAGUACGAGAGGACCGGAGUGGACGCAUCACUGGUGUUCGGGUUGUCAUGCCAAUGGCACUGCCCGGUAGCUAAAUGCGGAAGAGAUAAGUGCUGAAAGCAUCUAAGCACGAAACUUGCCCCGAGAUGAGUUCUCCCUGAGACUUAGAGUCUCCUGAAGGAACGUUGAAGACGACGACGUUGAUAGGCCGGGUGUGUAAGCGCAGCGAUGCGUUGAGC
RNAcentral lists this ribosomal RNA (2719 nucleotides) under Salmonella enterica subsp. enterica serovar Heidelberg. RNAcentral describes it as "bacterial LSU rRNA". It matches the Rfam family "Bacterial large subunit ribosomal RNA". The record is from RNAcentral. Lineage: Bacteria; Pseudomonadati; Pseudomonadota; Gammaproteobacteria; Enterobacterales; Enterobacteriaceae.